Molecule: transfer RNA, 85 nt
Filed under: Bacillota bacterium
Lineage: Bacteria; Bacillati; Bacillota
Description: tRNA-Leu
Rfam family: tRNA
About the family: Transfer RNA (tRNA) molecules are approximately 80 nucleotides in length. Their secondary structure includes four short double-helical elements and three loops (D, anti-codon, and T loops).
Source: RNAcentral
GUCGGAGUGGCGGAACUGGCAGACGCGUACGUUUGAGGGGCGUAUGGAUAAAACCGUGGGGGUUCGAGUCCCCUCUCCGACACCA